This 435-nucleotide ribosomal RNA is filed under the name uncultured Flavobacterium sp. Its description in RNAcentral is "bacterial SSU rRNA". It matches the Rfam family "Bacterial small subunit ribosomal RNA", at positions 358 to 790 of the family's 1533-position model. Lineage: Bacteria; Pseudomonadati; Bacteroidota; Flavobacteriia; Flavobacteriales; Flavobacteriaceae. The record is from RNAcentral.
GGAAUAUUGGACAAUGGGCGCAAGCCUGAUCCAGCCAUGCCGCGUGCAGGAUGACGGUCCUAUGGAUUGUAAACUGCUUUUAUACGAGAAGAAACACUGCUACGUGUAGCAGCUUGACGGUAUCGUAAGAAUAAGGAUCGGCUAACUCCGUGCCAGCAGCCGCGGUAAUACGGAGGAUCCAAGCGUUAUCCGGAAUCAUUGGGUUUAAAGGGUCCGUAGGCGGUUUAAUAAGUCAGUGGUGAAAGCCCAUCGCUCAACGAUGGAACGGCCAUUGAUACUGUUAGACUUGAAUUAUUAGGAAGUAACUAGAAUAUGUAGUGUAGCGGUGAAAUGCUUAGAGAUUACAUGGAAUACCAAUUGCGAAGGCAGGUUACUACUAAUUGAUUGACGCUGAUGGACGAAAGCGUGGGUAGCGAACAGGAUUAGAUACCCCGG